AUACAGGGGGUGCGAGCGUUAAUCGGAAUUACUGGGCGUAAAGCGCACGUAGGCGGAUUGGAAAGUUGGGGGUGAAAUCCCAGGGCUCAACCCUGGAACUGCCUCCAAAACUAACAGUCUAGAGUUCGAGAGAGGUGAGUGGAAUUCCAAGUGUAGAGGUGAAAUUCGUAGAUAUUUGGAGGAACACCAGUGGCGAAGGCGGCUCACUGGCUCGAUCCUGACGCUGAGGUGCGAAAGCGUGGGGAGCAAACAGGAUUAGAAACCCCAGUAGUCC
Molecule: ribosomal RNA, 274 nt
Filed under: uncultured bacterium
Lineage: Bacteria
Description: partial 16S ribosomal RNA
Rfam family: Bacterial small subunit ribosomal RNA
Source: RNAcentral